CCCGGGAGCGCUUCAUCGAUCCUGACUGCUGUUUUCUUCUUAUUGACCAGCACGACAACGUCUGCAGUUGCCUGUCACUCACUCGAUCUGUCUGUCUGGAUCGAAAUAGGCCCAUUUGACUCUGAUUGACAUCGGGAGAAGAUUCCUUCCCGGCAGUGGAAGUAAGGCCACAUGAAUUUAUUGAAGGCGCUCCGGUGUGUUCUCGUCGCUUUGGGUAUUCCGACGUGUUUGCCUGGGAGUGCAAAGCGAAGGCGCUCUUUGCAUAAACUCCCUUUGAUUGACUGCCGAUGCAUCCUUCGGAGAUCACCGGAGCAAACGGUUAAAGUGCAACCCACCCCCAGAGACAUUAAAUAGGGUAACCCCACAACUAGGAUUUCCAUCUAAAGAAGACUUCUGGAUUAAAAGUGAAGCAUCCUCAGCUAUGAAGAAUCCAGUUGCCUCCAUUCAACUUUUGCGGAUUACCAUGACGUGGAUGACUGAGCAUCCACCCAGACAUUUGUUAUCAUGUGUGGUGUACUCAAGACAACCAACGCCACCACAUCACACUCUUAACCAUAUGUCCACCCACAAUCAAGGUUUUGGCAAAGUACCUGGACAGAUCUGAGAGAGGCAGCAAGGAGCCACACAGGAUCCAAACUGCCGUAAAUACAAAGAACAAGAAGCGAGGUUAGCCAAUUCUUCUACUUGUCAUUGCUUUGGUGAUAAAAGACUCAGAGGACACUUUUCAAAAACACUAUCACUAUUGUUAUGUUCCACGCGACGAUAAGGGAGUUUGCGGCUCGGACGUUCCACACACAGACAAAAUAGGGCAUUUCUUAAGUAUUAAGCAUGUUUGACAAUCGACAGCUGUCGAAAAAUUUGACUCUUUCACACCUUCAGAUUCUUUCAGAUUCAGACAAUAUGACCUUUUGCUAACUUGGUUGGAAAGUGGGAAAUACAGUUUAGCUGCAAGAAGCAGACUCAUUUGGUCCAAGACUCAAAUGCCACACAAAUCCACUGGUGCAAAAUUCCACUCAGUGUACCAAAUUCUAGCAACUAAUAAAAGCAGGUCAGCCUCAGAUUGUUUCUUAUACUCUGCAAUAUUCCAAAAUAAAUUGAAAAUAGAAAUGGACAAGCAACCGUGUGGAAGGUGCGAUGUCAGGUGAAGAAUGUCCUGGCCUCCAACUUUAAAUAAUGAAACAGUCAAGGGCUUAUGGGAACUGGUGCAGCUUGGGGAUCAGAAUGUCACCAGCUCUUCUCAAACCCUCAGAGGUGGACAAGCAAAAUGAGAAACAAUUGUCUCACUACCUUACUUGUUAAUUAGCCCAUGAAAAGUCACAUAUACACACACACACGAAUAAGCAGUAGCCACGCAAGUGUUAGAUUGCUUUGUUGUUGCAUCACUUGGCUCGCCCACUCGGUGUGUGUGUUGUUUAUUCCUUCAUUUAUUUAGCGGCUCCUUGGGUGCGGCUUCAAAGGGAAUACAAAAGCGAACAGGUUCUUUGAGUAUGUGAGGAUCCAAGCAGGUGGCUGCGUUCGAAAACACCUCCAUCUCUGCUAAAAACCACACGUGUGGACAAAAGUGUCCAAAGGUGAAAAAAAUUGAGGAUGUUUAGGAAAGAUUUUAGAAUAAAAGCGGACCUUGAUGGUACUCUUCGUAUGCACGUUCACUUCUGUGAACUAGGAUGCUGGAGGGAAAUGGAUUUGUUUGUGCUGGAUUUCUUUUCAUUUAACACAUAUUCUCUUCAUAUCGUACAACCGCAGGGGCAGAGGCUGUAGCUUAAGGUUCACAAUCUCAGAGUAAUGUGAUAAAUUUGUGAUAAAUUUGUUACCUUAGGAAAUGACGUAUACUUUGCCGACGAGAAUGAUACACGAUGCAACAAUAAACAUCUUGGCCAAAAAAACAUCUUGAAGACAUCAUGAUAUCGUAAGCAUUAAACUUGUCAAUUGCAAAUUAUGUAUUUCUAAAUAUUUUAAGUUUUGCUUUAGACAAUUAAAGAAGUGAAAUAAAUAAAUUGACCAAAAAUAGAAAAAAAAAAAAAAACUAUUUUCGUUCAUAAUAUCAUUUAAAAUGCUGAAAUGUCCAAUUCGAUUCGGGUGGGAAUACCUUGGACGUAAACCAACUAUAUCCAUUUAACUGCACAUCAAGUAUACAUGUCAUUAUUGAAUAUGAUGGCAAACUUAAGCCCAAUUACUGUUUUUCUCUUUGAUCAGAACUAGCAUAGCAUAACAAUACAAUACAUUCCAAUAUCAAUCUUUUGUCGCAACUGUAUAGGUUCCACUGAGCUGUCAGCUGUCCCCUCCUUGGGCCGUUACCUUAUCGUGGUGGAGGGGUUUGUGUGUCCCAAUGAUCCUAGGAGCUAAGUUGUCUGGGGCUUUAUGCCCCUGGCAGGGUCACCCAUGGCAAACAGGUCCUAGGUGAGGGACCAGACAAAGCAUGGCUCCAAAAACCCCUAUGACAAAAACAAUUGAUGGAUUCAGGUUUUCCUUGCCCGGACGCGGGUCACCGGGGCCCCCGUCUGGAGCCAUGCCUGGAGGUGGGGCUCGAAGGCGAGCGCCUGGUGGCCGGGCACAGCCCGAAAGGGUAACGUGGCUCCCCCUUCCCAUGGGCUCACCACCUGUGGGAAUGGCCAUAGGGGUCGGGUGCAGUGCGAACUGGGCGGUGGCCGAAGGCGGGGACCUUGGCGAUCCGAUCCCCGGCUACAGAAACUGGCUCUAGGGAUGUGGAAUGUCACCUCUCUGGCAGGGAAGGAGCCCGAGCUGGUGUGUGAGGUCGAGAAGUUCCGACUAGAUAUAGUCGGACUUGCCUCCUAUCACAGCUUGGGCUCUGGUACCAGUCCUCUCGAGAGGGGUUGGACUCUCUUCCACUCUGGAGUUGCCCACAGUGAGAGGCGCCGAGCAGGUGUAGGUAUACUUAUUGCUCUCCGGCUCGGCGCCUGUACGUUGGGGUUCUCCCCGG
Phycodurus eques (leafy seadragon) is the source of this 2938-nucleotide long non-coding RNA. RefSeq lists it as uncharacterized. NCBI's taxonomy places the organism in Eukaryota, Metazoa, Chordata, Actinopteri, Syngnathiformes, Syngnathidae. The record is from RefSeq and is a predicted model, not a curated record. The transcript has 3 exons.